Molecule: ribosomal RNA, 253 nt
Filed under: uncultured bacterium
Lineage: Bacteria
Description: partial 16S ribosomal RNA
Rfam family: Bacterial small subunit ribosomal RNA
Source: RNAcentral
GACAGAGGGUGCGAACGUCGUUCGGAAUUACUGGGCGUAAAGCGCAUGUAGGCGGCCGCGCAGGUCGGAUGUGAAAUCCCUCGGCUCACCCGAGGACGUGCAUUCGAAACCGCGUGGCUCGAGUCCUGGAGAGGGUCGUGGAAUUCUCGGCGUAGAGGUGAAAUUCGUAGAUAUCGGGAGGAACACCGGCGGCGAAAGCGGCGACCUGGACAGAGACUGACGCUGAGAUGCGAAAGCGUGGGGAGCAAACAGG